CCUACGGGUGGCAGCAGUGGGGAAUAUUGCGCAAUGGGCGAAAGCCUGACGCAGCGACGCCGCGUGAGGGAUGAAGGUCUUCGGAUCGUAAACCUCUGUCAGCAGGGAAGAUCGGUCACUGUGCUAAUCAGCAGUGAAUUGACGGUACCUGCAAAGGAAGCACCGGCUAACUCCGUGCCAGCAGCCGCGGUAAUACGGAGGGUGCGAGCGUUAUUUGGAAUUACUGGGCGUAAAGCGCUCGUAGGCGGUAUGUCAAGUCAAGGGUGAAAUCCCCGCGCUCAACGUGGGAACUGCCUUUGAAACUGGCAAACUGGAGUGUGUGAGAGGAUAGUGGAAUUCGAGGUGUAGGGGUGAAAUGCGUAGAUAUCUGGAAGAACAUCAGUGGCGAAGGCGACUAUCUGGCACAUAACUGACGCUGAGGAGCGAAAGCGUGGGUAGCAAACAGGAUUAGAUACCCUUGUAGUC
RNAcentral lists this ribosomal RNA (465 nucleotides) under uncultured bacterium. RNAcentral describes it as "partial 16S ribosomal RNA". It matches the Rfam family "Bacterial small subunit ribosomal RNA", at positions 338 to 795 of the family's 1533-position model. The record is from RNAcentral.